CCUACGGGAGGCAGCAGUGAGGAAUAUUGGUCAAUGGACGAGAGUCUGAACCAGCCAAGUAGCGUGAAGGAUGACUGCCCUAUGGGUUGUAAACUUCUUUUAUAAAGGAAUAAAACGAGGCACGUGUGCCUUUUUGCAUGUACUUUAUGAAUAAGGAUCGGCUAACUCCGUGCCAGCAGCCGCGGUAAUACGGAGGAUCCGAGCGUUAUCCGGAUUUAUUGGGUUUAAAGGGAGCGUAGAUGGGUUGUUAAGUCAGUUGUGAAAGUUUGCGGCUCAACCGUAAAAUUGCAAUUGAUACUGGCAGUCGUGAGUACAGUUGAGGUAGGCGGAAUUCGUGGUGUAGCGGUGAAAUGCUUAGAUAUCACGAAGAACCCCGAUUGCGAAGGCAGCUUACUAACCUGUGACUGACAUUGAUGCUCGAAAGUGUGGGUAUCAAACAGGAUUAGAUACCCUAGUAGUC
This 460-nucleotide ribosomal RNA is filed under the name uncultured bacterium. RNAcentral describes it as "partial 16S ribosomal RNA". It matches the Rfam family "Bacterial small subunit ribosomal RNA", at positions 338 to 795 of the family's 1533-position model. The record is from RNAcentral.